GAUGAACGCUGGCGGCGUGCUUAACACAUGCAAGUCGAACGGAAAGGCCCAAGCUUGCUUGGGUACUCGAGUGGCGAACGGGUGAGUAACACGUGGGUGAUCUGCCCUGCACUUCGGGAUAAGCCUGGGAAACUGGGUCUAAUACCGGAUAGGACCACAUUUUGGAUGGUGUGGUGGAAAGUUUUUCGGUGUGGGAUGAGCUCGCGGCCUAUCAGCUUGUUGGUGGGGUAAUGGCCUACCAAGGCGUCGACGGGUAGCCGGCCUGAGAGGGUGUACGGCCACAUUGGGACUGAGAUACGGCCCAGACUCCUACGGGAGGCAGGAGUGGGGAAUAUUGGACAAUGGGAGCAAGCCUGAUGCAGCGACGCCGCGUGGGGGAUGAAGGCCUUCGGGUUGUAAACUCCUUUCGCUAGGGACGAAGCGUUUUUGUGACGGUACCUGGAGAAGAAGCACCGGCUAACUACGUG
RNAcentral lists this ribosomal RNA (467 nucleotides) under uncultured bacterium. Its description in RNAcentral is "partial 16S ribosomal RNA". It matches the Rfam family "Bacterial small subunit ribosomal RNA", at positions 28 to 507 of the family's 1533-position model. The record is from RNAcentral.